Molecule: long non-coding RNA, 1087 nt
Filed under: Hordeum vulgare
Lineage: Eukaryota; Viridiplantae; Streptophyta; Magnoliopsida; Poales; Poaceae
Description: long non-coding RNA (HVUL_LNC011433)
Source: RNAcentral
UUACUGCUACAUUAUGGUUGAAAUGUCAAUAUAUUUAAACUCACUGUUUAGAUUCUGCAAUCACAAGUAUCACUGUAGUCUGGUCUUAGACAGAUUAUUGUUUGAGUUAAGUUCACUGAACAACUUUUGCAAUACCCCAUUCUGCCCAACACCAACCCCCAAGCUUGGUUCGAUAUAAAAUUAGAACUGUUCAUUGCUUGUUUAAUGCUCCAACAUUGAUAACACUCCCUUCAUGCUUGCUGACCCACACCUUGCUCGGUUUUUUUCGCAGUCCCGAUGAGGCCAUGAUGCUUACCUUGUUGGAGCGCAUCAACCCUGACCAUGGCACCACAUUCAGAGUCUUGAGGUAGCCAUGCUACAACUGCAUCAAUGCUAUAUUCUCCGACUAGAUAAGUCUUAUGGUCUAUCCCAUUAUUUUCUUUUGUUACUUGGUCGACGAGCCAUGAUGCAAUGACAUAUAUUAUUGUGUUCAUUCCCUAGAUGUGAUGCAGAAGCUAUGGUGUUUUGUUUUGAGUCUGUUGUAAAUUGUAAUUGAUAAUGAUUUGUGUAAAAUUAGUGUAUAACAUAUGUCUUGUUAUCUUAAAUCGUUCGUGUCGUGCUUAAUGAACCAUCUAAGAUUGAAUCAUUUUCUGCGUUCAACAUCUAGAACCAUUCUGGGAGUUUUGUUUUCAUGCAACAACUGUGCAUUCUUGUCUUCUGUGUUGUUUCUGUGAGCUAGUCCUUGUGGUUAUUACUGUUACAUGUUACAUGUUACAUGUAGAGUUGCUUCAUGAUUUAGUCCCUAGCUGCUUUCUAUAUUUGUUUUUAUUUUGUUUCUAACUCCUUUGGUUUGUUGUUAGAUGCCUUCGUUCAGCCUGUACGAACAUAUCCAGAAAUGGUGUUUUCUCUCAUUGAAGGAGCUCCGGCCUGGAAGUGAAGAAGUGUGGAGUAUAUUUGCAGUAUUAGUUAUAUGUUGUGAUAGUAUCACAUGUAAUGGUGAAAUGAAUUAUGUAAAGAUUGUGCUAUUAGCCAAAAUCGGCAUGUCGUUUGAUAAUUUUCAUUUGUUUGCUGUUCUGACUGAAAUAAUUGUGUGGAAAUUGAAACCUUG